GCAUCUUCUUAAAAGUAAACUAGUUAUAAGUGACUGAACCAAAGAGAACAGAUUACAAAAGAAAAACAGGAUAGGAUGGAUCAUGAUAUCAAUGGGGUUCAUGUGUUGACAUCUUGUGCUGCUGAGAUUACCUGCUCCUCAGAAAAGUGAAAGAAUUAAAGCAAGGAUCUGCUACAUUCACAGUCUGUUUAGGGAAGAUAUAGAUUUUCUCUGCUUUGGAGUUCCAGAGGACAAAACUCAGAGACCAGAGAUAAAGGGGAUUGGUUUGCCAAUCACAGAAGCUGUAGAGCGCGUCUGUGAGUAUAUGAAACAGAGAAAAAGUAAAAUAGAAAGCUAACAAAAAUGAACGAUUCACUUUUUGAAUGUAUUUCACAGUACUUUGUAAUGAUUACAUACACAAUGAUGUGGGCUUAAUUAUUUUGAAAUAUUAUCAGUGUUGUUUCUAUGAAUUUUAACUAAUUUUCUCAGAAAAAAAUAUGUAUUUAGCCCAUUUCAACUUGAUUCUAUAAACAAAUGAGAAGGAACAGAAAGCAAAGCUUAAAAAGACACAAAUACAUGAAAGGCUGGUCAGAAUAACAGAUCAAAACAGAAUGAUCAUUAAUUCAAAGUUUUCUGAUGAUGAAACCAAUGUUGGGAUCUCCAGAAUAACUAAAUCAGAUUCGUCAGUGCAGAUAUUUAGGGAUCUAAAUAUUUAGCAACCUUUCAUAAACUGAUUCUUACAAUUACACAAGUUUAGAAAAUGACCCUUAGAUCUUGGCACUUGGGAGAUGGUUCUUUGGGCACAGUUCAGAGACAGUUUCACAACUGGAUCGAAACUAUUCAUUGAGUUUUUCAUUUGAUAAAAUCACAAAAUAUAGGUAAACAAUUAGGAGCUCAAGUCAAUACUGAAACAAAUAGCACACUACAAGAUUAAGAAACAGUAUGAAAGCCUGGUGAGGAAGCACUAAUAUCUUCCUCUUAUGUCCAUACUGAGGCACUGCGGGAAUGAGUAACAGGAGAAUCCCAUACCGACCUCAGCCCAAGACAAGUAGUCAGACCCAGCUCUAUUUGCAGUAAAUGCACUUCAUAGACUGUUUUUAAAGAAAAGAUUCAAUAAAAAUAACAAUAAUAGUAUCAAGAGUAAAUAUAAAUCCAGAAGGGUGGAUCCACUAUCUGAGAAAGCAACAUUGACAAACAGCUACAAGGAUCUAGGGGAGGACCCUUUAACACCCAGGGUGGAAGGAAGUGCUCUUGAUUUCUAUGGAGCUGGACCUAAAUUGAAAGGAGUUGUAGUCUUAGAAGCAGAUUUUCUGAUACAAAGAUUGUCAAAUUCAUUGCUUCGUAACAUCUCAUAAAACCUGCUUUGUGUUUACUCCAAUAUUUAUGUAUGCAUGUAUGUAUGUAUGCAUUUAUUUAUUUAUUUAUGCAUUCUUUCUAUGUUUUAGAACUAGGUCUUACUCUGCUUUCCAGGCUAUUUUCAAAUAUGCUACCAACAUGCCCAUCUUCUAGUCCAAUGUUUAAAUAAAUUAUAUUAACAUCUGCAUUUGAAGAAAACUUGGGAAAUAAUGCAAACAUAUUGCACGUACUAUAUAUACACACAUAACAGAAACUUCACACGUUUAAGUUUUUCAAUACAUGAG
Long non-coding RNA from Heterocephalus glaber (naked mole-rat), 1619 nucleotides. The record is from Ensembl. NCBI's taxonomy places the organism in Eukaryota, Metazoa, Chordata, Mammalia, Rodentia, Bathyergidae.